AACGAACGCUGGCGGCGUGGAUUAGGCAUGCAAGUCGUACGCGAAAGAGGGAGCAAUCCCUUGAGUAGAGUGGCGAACGGGUGAGUAACGCGUGAGAAACCUGCCUUUGACAGGGGGAUAACACUCCCAACGGGGUGCUAAUACCGCAUGAGACCACGGGAUCGCAUGAUCCUGAGGUCAAAGAUGGCCUCUAUUUAUAAGCUAUCGGUCGAAGAUGGUCUCGCGUCCCAUUAGCUUGUUGGCGGUGUAAAAGACCACCAAGGCGACGAUGGGUAGCUGGUCUGAGAGGAUGGUCAGCCACACUGGGACUGAGAUACGGCCCAGACUCCUACGGGAGGCAGCAGUCGAGAGGCUUCGGCAAUGGGGGAAACCCUGACCGAGCGACGCCGCGUGGAGGAUGAAGGCCCUUGGGUUGUAAACUCCUUUAUUCGGGAAGAAGUGCGAUCAGGUGAAUAAUCUGGUCGUUUGACGGUACCGGAUGAAUAAGCUCCGGCUAACUCCG
Molecule: ribosomal RNA, 502 nt
Filed under: uncultured bacterium
Lineage: Bacteria
Description: bacterial SSU rRNA
Rfam family: Bacterial small subunit ribosomal RNA
Source: RNAcentral